This 343-nucleotide unclassified non-coding RNA is filed under the name uncultured fungus. RNAcentral's name for it is "partial contains 5.8S ribosomal RNA and internal transcribed spacer 2". The stretch from base 1 to 133 matches the Rfam family "5.8S ribosomal RNA", at positions 22 to 154 of the family's 154-position model. Lineage: Eukaryota; Fungi. The record is from RNAcentral.
UGGUUCUGGCAUCGAUGAAGAACGCAGCGAAAUGCGAUAAGUAAUGUGAAUUGCAGAAUUCCGUGAAUCAUCGAAUCUUUGAACGCAUAUUGCGCCCCCUGGUAUCCCGGGGGGCAUGCCCGUCCGAGCGUCGUAGUCCCAACUCAAGCAGUGCUGCUUGGAAUUGGCCCCCGCGGGGCGCCCUCGUGGUAGCCCGCAGGCCCUAAAUCUAGUGGUAUAGUGUCGCACCCCCCGAGCGAAGUAAAUCUCUCCGCCUAGGGGCCUCGUGUGGUCGCUGCCAGAUAACCCCACAUACUUUUGUAUGACACUGGAUGACCUCGGAUCGGGUAGGGAUACCCGCUGA